Molecule: long non-coding RNA, 1860 nt
Organism: Panicum virgatum (switchgrass)
Lineage: Eukaryota; Viridiplantae; Streptophyta; Magnoliopsida; Poales; Poaceae
Exons: 2
Source: RefSeq, a predicted model, not a curated record
GCGUUGUAGUGCGCCGCAGCCGACGGUGCGCAGCCGACGCCGCCGUCCACGACGAGGACGGCCGCCGGCUACGGCAGCUGCCGCAGGCCCGUACGCCUCGGCGUCCGGGCUAAGGGCGGGGACGCGGUCAGCCGCCGCCAUUGCGGAGGCGGCGGGAUCUCCGAGGCCGAGGCGGCGACUUGGUCCGGCCGCGAGGAGGCUCGUCGCGACGGGGAAGACGCAGGCGGUGGGGUUCGGCGAUUGCCGUCGACGUCGUGUGGCGGCUCCGGUGGCGCGGGGUCGACGGCGCUGUGACCAAUCAAUUCCACAUCCUCCUCGGAUUUGUACUGAGUGGAGCAGAGAUUCCUACUAGGAUUUGGAUUGACUGAUUCCUCUAUUUCUCACAGUUGAAGGAGAGGUGAGGGGAACAGAGGCUGUUCGCAAUUGCAGAGUUCUCCAAUCCAGCUGCCGUCCGCACGGUAUUUCACAUCUACCCACGCCGCCACCCCUGCCUCUCGUCGCCGGCGUCCGCAACCGCAGGUCUCCCUAUCUCUAGAUUCAUUGGCCUCGUUUGGUUUACGCUAUUCUAUUCCAUUCUACGAGAGAAUCUUAUAUGCAUAAAGAAGUAAAUGAAGUCAAUUUGCAAAAAUUUUUCAGUGAUGGGUGUAACUUUUCGCGACGAAUCUAAUGAUGGUAAUUAAUCGAUAAUUGGCUACAGUGAUGCUACAGUAACAAUCCUCUAAUCGCGCGCGGUCGGAGGCCUCAUUAGAUUCUUCAGGUCACUAGCGCGGGGGUUCUGAAGUUGAUUUUGUAAACUGGCUUUAUUUGACAUCAUAAUUAGCGGUCAAAAUGUCACUAUUUACUAGCACGCUACAGACCAGACAUCACUUGGUUGGGUUACAGGGACCAGUCGCCUACCAUUUAUUGCCAUUAGCAAGGAAGAAAAGGGCGGUUCUAUUAUCAUACUUGCUCCGGUCACAAAUAAAGGAGGCUUUGAGUAAAGUUUGGUCAAACUUUUAAAACUUUUGACCGUCGAACGUCGAUAGCCAUCGAGCAGGGUAGCCCGGACGUCCCCGCGAUCAGUGAGCACGACGUCACGGAGGAUGAGCUCAAGUUGGGCAAGCUCAGCCUGAGUGGCGGCAGUGAGGCGAGGGACGAGGUGGCGCCUGAUGCCGUGCUCCACAGCCGCGCGAACAGAGACGCCCUGACACUUGCAGUGGGAGAAGAGGGCCGGGAACUUGUCGGCCAUGACAGCGUUCCAUUGCCAGCGGUCAGCCCAGAGAUCGGCAGAGGCCCCGUCGCCGAUGGUAAUGCUGGAGAUGAGCCGGAACGCCGGCAGAAGCUUGCGGAGGCCGUCCCAAUGGCAACCCUCGACCUGGCCCUGCAGGGUGAGCAGGUUCACCCGGCCGUUUGCCCAGGAGGAAAAGCCGGGGUUGUGCAGGCGAUGCAGAAGCUUGAGGAGCAGACAUGCGUUGUGCACGCUGAGCUGACGCACGCCGAGGCCGCCCUCGUGCUUGGGAUAUCUACCAUGCUCGGUUCUUGAUAUGUUCACAUGUUUCACAUAUUUUUAACAGGAAGGUUACAAGGUUUAUCUUAGAUUCAAAUCCAUCAGGGGUUCCGUGACUUCCGUCGGAGAAGCAAGCGGCCUCACUGGGAGUGUCGGCUUGGGCUUGGGUGGCAAUCGCAGAGCCUCAUCAAGGUCGGCCUCCAUGGAAGCCUCAGCUGAGCUGCCGCCUCGCUCCUCAGCUAUCUCAAAGCUCAAGCAGCAGCAGCAUUUUUUUUUUAAAAAAAAAGAUGCAGCAGCAAACACUUAGUUACGGUUGCUUCUGUAAAAGAGUACUCAACGCCAAACCAAAAAAAAAAAGAAGCAAUGUUUAUAUA